AAAUUGAAGAGUUUGAUCAUGGCUCAGAUUGAACGCUGGCGGCAGGCCUAACACAUGCAAGUCGAACGGUAACAGGAAGAAGCUUGCUUUUUUGCUGACGAGUGGCGGACGGGUGAGUAAUGUCUGGGAAACUGCCUGAUGGAGGGGGAUAACUACUGGAAACGGUAGCUAAUACCGCAUAAUGUCGCAAGACCAAAGAGGGGGACCUUAGGGCCUCUUGCCAUCGGAUGUGCCCAGAUGGGAUUAGCUAGUAGGUGGGGUAACGGCUCACCUAGGCGACGAUCCCUAGCUGGUCUGAGAGGAUGACCAGCCACACUGGAACUGAGACACGGUCCAGACUCCUACGGGAGGCAGCAGUGGGGAAUAUUGCACAAUGGGCGCAAGCCUGAUGCAGCCAUGCCGCGUGUAUGAAGAAGGCCUUCGGGUUGUAAAGUACUUUCAGCGGGGAGGAAGGGAGUAAAGUUAAUACCUUU
This 473-nucleotide ribosomal RNA is filed under the name Escherichia coli. Its description in RNAcentral is "bacterial SSU rRNA". It matches the Rfam family "Bacterial small subunit ribosomal RNA", at positions 1 to 470 of the family's 1533-position model. The record is from RNAcentral. Lineage: Bacteria; Pseudomonadati; Pseudomonadota; Gammaproteobacteria; Enterobacterales; Enterobacteriaceae.